This 832-nucleotide non-coding RNA is filed under the name Pongo abelii (Sumatran orangutan). Lineage: Eukaryota; Metazoa; Chordata; Mammalia; Primates; Hominidae. The record is from RNAcentral.
UCAGGUGAUCCUCCCAUCUCAUCCUCCCAAGUAGCUGGGACUACAGGUUGCCUCUUCCAGAUCCCUUUUGAUCUAUUUUCAGCUAUGGAUUCUUGAGAAUCAAGACUAAGCAGCCUGAAAUGAAGGAGUAAGAGUAUCACCUAACAGUGAUUUUGCUGCCAUAGUAGCUGUUUGUAUACUGGCCAUAUGCCUAGGUAAAAUGAGGCCAGAUCACUCUAAGAGUUUUCUAUCAGAGUUGGUGGUGAACUACUGCUCACUGAUAAUGACGAGAAACCCCAGCUGAGGAGGCAAAUACACUCAAGGAAAGUAAUAGUUUCCAAAUGCCUGGCAGUGCCAGGAAGGGGCCAUGUCCGUGGACCACUAUGUAAGGAUAUCUCAGUCUCUAGUCAAGCAUGGUUUAUGGUGCCAAAUAAGUGCCAGGUGAACUCACUACAUCUGACAAAAUCUCAAGGAACCAAGUUUACCAGAUAAUAUUUAUGAUUAUGUGAAAAAGACUGAGGAAAUCACUCUAGUGAUCCAUCAUACAGCACCUCCAGUUCCAAAGAAUACUGACUUACUUCAGGUGAUAACACUCUACCAUUUUUAAGUUUUUCAUCCACACUGUGUUUUUGUUUCUGGAGCUGAUCCUUUUCUUUCUGGAGGACUUCAACUUGUUCUGAAAUCUUUGUUUUCUCCUCAGCUGUACUGGUCUGGAGCUGCACAUUCUUUUCAGACAACUCUUGUUCCAAUAAGUUCAGGUGACUCUUCUCCUGUAACAGAGCCUCCUUCUUAGAAACUAUGGCCUCCCGUUUCUUUAAGUCUUCUUCCAGCUCCUCUAAUUCUUGGCGUUGGU